RNAcentral lists this unclassified non-coding RNA (191 nucleotides) under uncultured fungus. Its description in RNAcentral is "partial contains 18S rRNA, ITS1, 5.8S rRNA". Lineage: Eukaryota; Fungi. The record is from RNAcentral.
UGCGGAAGGAUCAUUACCUAGAGUUUGUAGACUUCGGUCUGCUACCUCUUACCCAUGUCUUUUGAGUACCUUCGUUUCCUCGGCGGGUCCGCCCGCCGAUUGGACAACAUUCAAACCCUUUGCAGUUGCAAUCAGCGUCUGAAAAAACAUAAUAGUUACAACUUUCAACAACGGAUCUCUUGGUUCUGGCA